This 273-nucleotide ribosomal RNA is filed under the name uncultured bacterium. RNAcentral's name for it is "partial 16S ribosomal RNA". It matches the Rfam family "Bacterial small subunit ribosomal RNA", at positions 524 to 796 of the family's 1533-position model. The record is from RNAcentral.
UACGAAGGGGGCGAGCGUUGGUCGGAAUUACUGGGCGUAAAGCGCACGUAGGCGGAUAUUUAAGUCAGGGGUGAAAUCCCUAGGCUCAACUGCGGAACUGCCUUGGAUACUGGGUAUCUAGAGUAUGGAAGAGGUGAGUGGAAUUCCGAGUGUAGAGGUGAAAUUCGUAGAUAUUAGGAGGAACACCAGUGGCGAAGGCGGCUCACUGGUCAAUUACUGACGCUGAGGUGCGAAAGCGUGGGGAGCAAACAGGAUUAGAUACCCGCGUAGUCC